UACGUAGGGGGGCAAGCGUUGUCCGGAUUUAUUGGGCGUAAAGAGCGUGUAGGCGGCCAGGUAGGUCUGCUGUGAAAACUCGAGGCUUAACCUCGAGCUGUCGGCGGAAACCAUCUGGCUAGAGUCCGGAAGAGGAGAAUGGAAUUCCCGGUGUAGCGGUGAAAUGCGCAGAUAUCGGGAAGAACACCCGUGGCGAAGGCGGUUCUCUGGGACGGUACUGACGCUGGAGACGCGAAAGCGUGGGGAGCAAAAGGG
RNAcentral lists this ribosomal RNA (255 nucleotides) under uncultured bacterium. RNAcentral's name for it is "partial 16S ribosomal RNA". It matches the Rfam family "Bacterial small subunit ribosomal RNA", at positions 524 to 776 of the family's 1533-position model. The record is from RNAcentral.